RNAcentral lists this microRNA precursor (154 nucleotides) under Pelobates cultripes (western spadefoot toad). Lineage: Eukaryota; Metazoa; Chordata; Amphibia; Anura; Pelobatidae. The record is from RNAcentral.
GCUGACACAGCCCGGCCAAUCUCCAGCAGAUUCUCCCUCCCAGACCCUCCCACCUCCUGGACAGCAUCCAUGUUGGGCUUCAACAUGGAUGCUGUCCAGGAGGUGGGAGGGUCUGGGAGGGAGGGUCUGCUGGAGAUUGGCCGGGCUGUGUCAG